This 304-nucleotide ribosomal RNA is filed under the name uncultured bacterium. RNAcentral describes it as "bacterial SSU rRNA". It matches the Rfam family "Bacterial small subunit ribosomal RNA", at positions 772 to 1073 of the family's 1533-position model. The record is from RNAcentral.
ACGGAAUAGAUACCCAGGUAGUCCACGCCCUAAACGAUGUCUACUAGUUGUCGGGGAUUCAUUUCCUUGGUAAACGCAGCUAAACGCGUGAAGUAGACCGCCUGGGGAGUACGGCCGCAAGGUUAAAACUCAAAGGAAUUGACGGGGACCCGCACAAGCGGUGGAUGAUGUGGAUUAAUUCGAUGCAACGCGAAAAACCUUACCUACGCUUGACAUGCCAGGAACUUUCCAGAGAUGGAUUGGUGCCCGAAAGGGAACCUGGACACAGGUGCUGCAUGGCUGUCGUCAGCUCGUGUCGUGAGAU